Molecule: long non-coding RNA, 2713 nt
Organism: Salvia miltiorrhiza (redroot sage)
Lineage: Eukaryota; Viridiplantae; Streptophyta; Magnoliopsida; Lamiales; Lamiaceae
Exons: 2
Source: RefSeq, a predicted model, not a curated record
AAUUAUUAUGCUAUAGCAUUUUAUUAAUUUGUGACUAGUUUUCCAUGAUUUAAUUCGUGUGGCUUAACACAUGGUUUAUUUUCCACCACACAAUACUACACUCUCACUUGAUUAUUAUAAUCAAUUAGACAUGUGUGUUUUAAUCAAGUGGCUUAGUGGAUAAGCUUGAGCAUUUACUUGUUGGCUAAGCUUAGAAGCAAGUGGAUGGUAUUAAACAAAACACUUUCUCUUUCUUCUCACUUCCUCCCUAACUCACGGCCUCACCAUUUUCUCUCUCCAAUCUUCCUUUCCUCCAUUAAUCCUCCAUGAUCGAAGAAUACCAAGCUUUUUAGAUCAUCUCUACACCAAAGUCUUCCAAAGAUAUUGAUCUAAACACCUCUAUUUCCUUGGUAAAGCCUAGAGAUUAGUGGAGAUACAAGCUUGAAGAUUAGAAAGAAGAUUUUAUUUUUCUUUUUGAUUUACUUGAGUAAGUGUUCUAAUCUUAUGGAUCUAGACUCUAUAUUGAGAUAUAUGUGUGUAGAUGGAAGAUUGAAGCAAGAAAUCACCCCCUCCCUUUUUUUUUAAAGUUUUCGAAAAUUUUGGGGUUUUUACCCUUCAAAAAAUUUUCUUGUUCUUUCCUUGAAUUGGACUGAGAAAAGUGAUCUAUGUGAUGUUUGGUGAUGAUUGAUGUGUGUUUUGAAAAGCUACGUCUUGUGAUGCAAAGUUUGAUUGAGUUUAGUUUACCCAAAAUUGGGAAAUUUUGAGUUGAUGUCUUAAAUGAUGAAUUGAUGACGAGUAUGAGAUUAUGAGAUGUCUAAGAUGAUGAUUGAUGGAGUAGAUUGAGGAUGUGAUGUUAAUUGAUGAUUUUGAUGUGAGUUAGUUUGAUGAAAUUAAGGAUAUGUGUAUCUAUGCCCUAAAUUAUUAAUUGAUGGUUUAUAUGUAUGAUUAAAUGGUUUUAAUUGAUAGAUCUAAGGUUGGAUUAAAGUUUCAUGUGUAUUUGUGGAAUUUCAAAAAGUUUAGUUUAAUAAAAAUUAGGACUUUCAUGCCUAUGUGUUAAUUAAGUGAAUUGACUUAGGAUAAAUGAAAUUGAGCAUGAUAUUAGAGUCUAAUAAUGUUUGGUUAGGUCAAAUAUUGGUUAUAUAAAAUUUUGACUUAGUUUAGUUUAUACAAGUUUUUGGGUAUGCAUAUGAUGUAAGGUCGAUGCUUGGUUUAAUGAGGUUUUAUUUGCUAUACGAUCAUUAUGUGAAUGUUUGUCAUGCCUUAAUUAAGAGUCCACGUCGAUACGUGAGUUUUUCUUCAAGUUUAGUUUGCAGGAUAAAAGAGAGUCUAUGUAUGUGUAGUAAGUUAUAUGAUGCAUGAAGUCAUAUAUGUGUAAUUGAGUACUUUUGAGCAUGAAAAUGAGAUGAGAUUUAAAUUGAUGCGUUCUUUGAAACGUUUUUCUUGAGAUUUGAGUUUGAGAUGUAAGAGAAGAGUCGAGUUUGAGUUUUGAUGAGUAAUAUGUUCAUGCUUGAAUGUUUUUGAGUGUUAUAAGUGUUUAAGAUGAGUUUUGAGAAGUUUUCAUUAAGGAAGUGUAGAGUUGAGCAUGUUUGCUUGUGUGUUUGAGUUGGAAGUUAUUUUUGAGACGCACUGACCUACUGUUUUUGAUAGGUUAUUGUUACCCAAAGACCUUAAAAUUUUUAAGAUAAGUAUAUAUGAGAGUCUUGAGCAUACCGGUAAAAUUUCAAGUCAUUUGGACUUCGUUUAUUAUUUUUAUAAAAUAGAAAACCAAAACUGCUACAUUCUGCCAAAAUGUUCGGUGAGUAGCCAAUAGAGUCACCGUUUUCAGUAUCUUUCCCUGAUGUUUUGGAGCCAAACUUUUUAUUGUUAAGACAUGAGUGUCUUUUCUAAGUACCCACCAAAUUUAAAACCUUUUCGGCAACCUUUACUAUUUUUCAAAAAUCAAAGUUUUCGAUUGCUCAAAACUGUCGAAUAUGGUAGACUGUAGGAAAACAGUCAUAUCUCCUAAACUACUUGGAGUUUUUCAUCCUACUUUUUUUAAAUGAAACUAGACUCAAAGAGGUUUCAAAUGGUAUAGGUUAAGACUCCAGUGGAGUUUUGUACCGAGUCUGGUAAAGUUUUUAAAUCGAGUCAGUGCAGAAUGAAGUUUGUUUGCGACAUGUCUAUGUGUGAAUUGAUAUGCUUAUGUGUUUAUGCAUGUUUAUGUGCUUGAUUGCUACGAGUUUAAUCCGAGUUGAGUGUUAAGUCGAGAGUAGGAUGUGUAAAUUCUUAGAAGUUAAGUAUACCUAGGGAUUGAGAUUUAUUUGAGCAUAGACGUUGAGUGAUAAGUUAUAGUUUGAGACGAGAUUGGUUUUUAGAACUAAGGUUUGUCUUAUCACAUGAACCUUCGAUGACGAUGAUGAUGAUGAUUAUGAAGGCCCGAGCGAGACAAAGAAGUAAGUCGCCUGAUUUCUUUCCAGGUUGAGCGAAGGACUUCAGGCUAAGCGAUGAGCGAGAUUGGUCUGGUGCUGGUGGGGAAUUGUUUAGCUGAUGUAAUUACUUUAUCGCAUUUCUAUUGUGUCGAUAAAGUCUUGAGAAUUGAUAUACUUUGUUUUCUUUGGAAUCAAGCAAUUUACUCGCGGUUAUAUGUCUUCACACAUAUAAUCGAUUCGCCUUUUGUUGCGAUACUCUGAAUAUUAUGAUUCCUUAUGAAAAAUGAGCUAUACCUACUUUGUUUUUGAUCUUGAAGUUCCUGAUA